RNAcentral lists this ribosomal RNA (468 nucleotides) under uncultured bacterium. Its description in RNAcentral is "partial 16S ribosomal RNA". It matches the Rfam family "Bacterial small subunit ribosomal RNA", at positions 28 to 507 of the family's 1533-position model. The record is from RNAcentral.
GACGAACGCUGGCGGCGUGCUUAACACAUGCAAGUCGAACGGAAAGGCCCUGCUUUUGUGGGGUGCUCGAGUGGCGAAAGGGUGAGUAACACGUGAGUAACCUGCCCUCGACUUUGGGAUAACUUCAGGAAACUGGGGCUAAUACCGGAUAGGAGCUCCUGCUGCAUGGUGGGGGUUGGAAAGUUUCGGCGGUUGGGGAUGGACUCGCGGCUUAUCAGCUUGUUGGUGGGGUAGUGGCUUACCAAGGCUUUGACGGGUAGCCGGCCUGAGAGGGUGACCGGCCACAUUGGGACUGAGAUACGGCCCAGACUCCUACGGGAGGCAGCAGUGGGGAAUAUUGCACAAUGGGCGGAAGCCUGAUGCAGCAACGCCGCGUGCGGGAUGACGGCCUUCGGGUUGUAAACCGCUUUCGCCUGUGACGAAGCGUGAGUGACGGUAAUGGGUAAAGAAGCACCGGCUAACUACGUG